CCUACGGGUGGCAGCAGUGAGGAAUAUUGGUCAAUGGACGAGAGUCUGAACCAGCCAAGUAGCGUGAAGGAUGACUGCCCUAUGGGUUGUAAACUUCUUUUAUAUGGGAAUAAAACGUUCCACGUGUGGGAUUUUGUAUGUACCAUAUGAAUAAGGAUCGACUAACUCCGUGCCAGCAGCCGCGGUAAUACGGAGGAUCCGAGCGUUAUCCGGAUUUAUUGGGUUUAAAGGGAGCGUAGGUGGAUUGUUAAGUCAGUUGUGAAAGUUUGCGGCUCAACCGUAAAAUUGCAGUUGAAACUGGCAGUCUUGAGUACAGUAGAGGUGGGCGGAAUGCGUGGUGUAGCGGUGAAAUGCUUAGAUAUCACGAAGAACUCCGAUUGCGAAGGCAGUUCACUGGACUGCAACUGACACUGAGGCUCGAAAGUGUGGGUAUCAAACAGGAUUAGAUACCCCUGUAGUC
This 460-nucleotide ribosomal RNA is filed under the name uncultured bacterium. RNAcentral's name for it is "partial 16S ribosomal RNA". It matches the Rfam family "Bacterial small subunit ribosomal RNA", at positions 338 to 795 of the family's 1533-position model. The record is from RNAcentral.